This 497-nucleotide ribosomal RNA is filed under the name uncultured bacterium. Its description in RNAcentral is "partial 16S ribosomal RNA". It matches the Rfam family "Bacterial small subunit ribosomal RNA", at positions 28 to 507 of the family's 1533-position model. The record is from RNAcentral.
GAUGAACGCUGGCGGCGUGCCUAAUACAUGCAAGUCGAGCGAACAGACGAGGAGCUUGCUCCUCUGACGUUAGCGGCGGACGGGUGAGUAACACGUGGAUAACCUACCUAUCAGACUGGGAUAACUUCGGGAAACCGGAGCUAAUACCGGAUAAUAUAUUGAACCGCAUGGUUCAAUAGUGAAAGACGGUUUUGCUGUCACUUAUAGAUGGAUCCGCGCCGCAUUAGCUAGUUGGUAAGGUAACGGCUUACCAAGGCAACGAUGCGUAGCCGACCUGAGAGGGUGAUCGGCCACACUGGAACUGAGAGACGGUCCAGACUCCUACGGGAGGCAGCAGUAGGGAAUCUUCCGCAAUGGGCGAAAGCCUGACGGAGCAACGCCGCGUGAGUGAUGAAGGUCUUCGGAUCGUAAAACUCUGUUAUUAGGGAAGAACAAAUGUGUAAGUAACUGUGCACGUAUUGACGGUACCUAAUCAGAAAGCCACGGCUAACUACGUG